Molecule: ribosomal RNA, 175 nt
Filed under: Fagraea ceilanica
Lineage: Eukaryota; Viridiplantae; Streptophyta; Magnoliopsida; Gentianales; Gentianaceae
Description: 5.8S ribosomal RNA
Rfam family: 5.8S ribosomal RNA (bases 11-166)
About the family: 5.8S ribosomal RNA (5.8S rRNA) is a component of the large subunit of the eukaryotic ribosome. It is transcribed by RNA polymerase I as part of the 45S precursor that also contains 18S and 28S rRNA.
Source: RNAcentral
AAAACUAAACGACUCUCGGCAACGGAUAUCUCGGCUCUCGCAUCGAUGAAGAACGUAGCGAACUGCGAUACUUGGUGUGAAUUGCAGAAUCCCGUGAACCAUCGAGUCUUUGAACGCAAGUUGCGCCCGAAGCCAUCCGGCCGAGGGCACGUCUGCCUGGGCGUCACGCAUCGCG